UACAGAGGGGGCAAGCGUUAUUCGGAAUUAUUGGGCGUAAAGGGCGCGUAGGCGGCCUUCUAAGUCGAACGUGAAAUCCCCGGGCUCAACCCGGGAACUGCGUCCGAUACUGGAAGGCUUGAAUCCGGGAGAGGGAUGCGGAAUUCCAGGUGUAGCGGUGAAAUGCGCAGAUAUCAGGAAGAACACCCGUGGCGAAGGCGGCUCUCUGGAACGCAACUGACGCUGAGACGCGAAAGCGUGGGGAGCAAACAGG
This 253-nucleotide ribosomal RNA is filed under the name uncultured bacterium. RNAcentral describes it as "partial 16S ribosomal RNA". It matches the Rfam family "Bacterial small subunit ribosomal RNA", at positions 524 to 776 of the family's 1533-position model. The record is from RNAcentral.